GACGAACGCUGGCGGCGUGCUUAACACAUGCAAGUCGAACGGACAGGCCCUGCUUUUGUGCGGUGCUCGAUUGCCGAACGCGUGAGUAACACGUGUGUAACCUGCCCUUGACUUUCGGAUAUCUUCACGAAACUGGGGCUAUUACCGGAUAUGAUCUCCUGCUCCAUGGUGGGGGUUGGAAAGUUUCGGCUGUUGGGGCUGGUCUCGCGGCUUAUCCGCUUGUUGGUCGGGUAGUGGCUUUCCAAGGUUUUGACGGGUAGCCGGCCUGGGAGGGGUAACGGCCACAUGGGGCCUGCGGUACGGCCCAGACUCCUACGGGCGGCAGCAGGGGGGAGUAUUGCGCAGUGGGCGGAAGCCUGAUGCAGCGGCGCCGGGUGCGGGAAGACGGCCUUCGGGGUGUGAACCGCUUUCGCCGGUGACGAAGAGUGAGUGACGGUAAUGGGUAAAGAAGCAACGGCUAACUACGUG
This 468-nucleotide ribosomal RNA is filed under the name uncultured bacterium. Its description in RNAcentral is "partial 16S ribosomal RNA". It matches the Rfam family "Bacterial small subunit ribosomal RNA", at positions 28 to 507 of the family's 1533-position model. The record is from RNAcentral.